GACGAACGCUGGCGGCGUGCCUAAUACAUGCAAGUCGAGCGGACUGAAUGGGAGCUUGCUCUUGUUCGGUCAGCGGCGGACGGGUGAGUAACACGUGGGCAACCUGCCCGCAAGACCGGGAUAACUCCGGGAAACCGGAGCUAAUACCGGAUAACACCGAAGACCGCAUGGUCUUUGGUUGAAAGGCGGCGCAAGCUGCCACUUGCGGAUGGGCCCGCGGCGCAUUAGCUAGUUGGUGAGGUAACGGCUCACCAAGGCGACGAUGCGUAGCCGGCCUGAGAGGGUGACCGGCCACACUGGGACUGAGACACGGCCCAGACUCCUACGGGAGGCAGCAGAGGGAAUCUUCCGCAAUGGGCGAAAGCCUGACGGAGCGACGCCGCGUGAGCGAAGAAGGCCUUCGGGUCGUAAAGCUCUGUUGUGAGGGACGAAGGAGCGCCGUUUGAAGAAGGCGGCGCGGUGACGGUACCUCACGAGGAAGCCCCGGCUAACUACGUG
RNAcentral lists this ribosomal RNA (498 nucleotides) under uncultured bacterium. RNAcentral's name for it is "partial 16S ribosomal RNA". It matches the Rfam family "Bacterial small subunit ribosomal RNA", at positions 28 to 507 of the family's 1533-position model. The record is from RNAcentral.